This 430-nucleotide ribosomal RNA is filed under the name uncultured bacterium. Its description in RNAcentral is "partial 16S ribosomal RNA". It matches the Rfam family "Bacterial small subunit ribosomal RNA", at positions 354 to 796 of the family's 1533-position model. The record is from RNAcentral.
GUGGGGAAUUUUGGACAAUGGGCGAAAGCCUGAUGCAGCAACGCCGCGUGAGGGACGACGGCCUUCGGGUUGUAAACCUCUUUUAGUAGGGAAGAAGCGAAAGUGACGGUACCUGCAGAAAAAGCACCGGCUAACUACGUGCCAGCAGCCGCGGUAAUACGUAGGGUGCAAGCGUUAUCCGGAAUUAUUGGGCGUAAAGAGCUCGUAGGCGGUCUGUCGCGUCUGCUGUGAAAACUGGAGGCUCAACCUCCAGCCUGCAGUGGGUACGGGCAGACUAGAGUGCGGUAGGGGAGAUUGGAAUUCCUGGUGUAGCGGUGGAAUGCGCAGAUAUCAGGAGGAACACCGAUGGCGAAGGCAGAUCUCUGGGCCGUAACUGACGCUGAGGAGCGAAAGCGUGGGGAGCGAACAGGAUUAGAUACCCCGGUAGUCC